This 849-nucleotide ribosomal RNA is filed under the name uncultured bacterium. RNAcentral's name for it is "bacterial SSU rRNA". It matches the Rfam family "Bacterial small subunit ribosomal RNA", at positions 103 to 965 of the family's 1533-position model. The record is from RNAcentral.
CGGGUGAGUAACGCGUGGGUAACCUGCCCUAGAGUGGGGGACAACAGUUGGAAACGACUGCUAAUACCGCAUAAGCCCACGGUACCGCAUGGUACUGAGGGAAAAGGAUUUAUUCGCUUUAGGAUGGACUCGCGUCCAAUUAGCUAGUUGGUGAGGUAACGGCCCACCAAGGCGACGAUUGGUAGCCGGACUGAGAGGUUGAACGGCCACAUUGGGACUGAGACACGGCCCAGACUCCUACGGGAGGCAGCAGUGGGGGAUAUUGCACAAUGGGGGAAACCCUGAUGCAGCGACGCCGCGUGGAGGAAGAAGGUUUUCGGAUUGUAAACUCCUGUCGUUAGGGACGAUAAUGACGGUACCUAACAAGAAAGCACCGGCUAACUACGUGCCAGCAGCCGCGGUAAAACGUAGGGUGCAAGCGUUGUCCGGAAUUACUGGGUGUAAAGGGAGCGCAGGCGGGAAGACAAGUUGGAAGUGAAAACCAUGGGCUCAACCCAUGAAUUGCUUUCAAAACUGUUUUUCUUGAGUAGUGCAGAGGUAGAUGGAAUUCCCGGUGUAGCGGUGGAAUGCGUAGAUAUCGGGAGGAACACCAGUGGCGAAGGCGGUCUACUGGGCACCAACUGACGCUGAGGCUCGAAAGCAUGGGUAGCAAACAGGAUUAGAUACCCUGGUAGUCCAUGCCGUAAACGAUGAUUACUAGGUGUUGGGGGGAUUGACCCCCUCAGUGCCGCAGUUAACACAAAUAAGUAAUCCACCUGGGGGAGUACGACCGCAAGGUUGAAACUCAAAGGAAUUGACGGGGGCCCGCACAAGCAGUGGAGUAUGUGGUUUAAUUCGAAACACCCCGAA